AUUGAACGCUGGCGGCAUGCCUUACACAUGCAAGUCGAACGGCAGCACGGGAGCAAUCCUGGUGGCGAGUGGCGAACGGGUGAGUAAUACAUCGGAACGUGCCCAAUCGUGGGGGAUAACGCAGCGAAAGCUGUGCUAAUACCGCAUACGAUCUACGGAUGAAAGCAGGGGACCGCAAGGCCUUGCGCGAAUGGAGCGGCCGAUGGCAGAUUAGGUAGUUGGUGAGGUAAAGGCUCACCAAGCCUUCGAUCUGUAGCUGGUCUGAGAGGACGACCAGCCACACUGGGACUGAGACACGGCCCAGACUCCUACGGGAGGCAG
RNAcentral lists this ribosomal RNA (321 nucleotides) under uncultured Pseudomonadota bacterium. Its description in RNAcentral is "bacterial SSU rRNA". It matches the Rfam family "Bacterial small subunit ribosomal RNA", at positions 30 to 351 of the family's 1533-position model. Lineage: Bacteria; Pseudomonadati; Pseudomonadota. The record is from RNAcentral.